Molecule: long non-coding RNA, 1180 nt
Organism: Hemicordylus capensis (graceful crag lizard)
Lineage: Eukaryota; Metazoa; Chordata; Lepidosauria; Squamata; Cordylidae
Exons: 3
Source: RefSeq, a predicted model, not a curated record
UUCUAAGUCAGGACUGGAAGGAGAAUCCUUUGGAGGGAGGGAGCAUGUGUGAACCCAGGACUCGAUUCUGGCUCGAUGUAAUGUUUGAAUCAGGCCAUUAUCUUAAAGCACUCCUGCAAAGUAAGUCAAUAUUAUUACCUCUUUUAUAACAAUCCUGUAAAGUAGGUCACUAUUAUUGACAUACUAUAAAUGCUGAGGUCUCCUAAUGCCUGGUGUUCUUCAACAUAGGUAUACCAUUUUCUACUGUCUAAUCAUCAGCUACUUCCCAGGAAAAGAUGCUAAGAAGGAUAAUAUUACAAACCUCUAAGGCAGCUGGAUCAAGAUAAAGAGUUAUCUCAAACAAAGAUCAAGUGGCUGUUAGGGAAUCCCUUCAGUAAAACGUUCAGAGUCAGUGAAUUAAGCACAAGCUGAGGAUGCCAUGAAAAGUGCAAAGUUGCAGUACAGGCCUUCUAGUCUGAAGGCUCUUGGUGGAUAAUAAAUCAAACAUUAUAUUCUAUUAAGAUGGUCACCUGUCUGAACCCUCAUACCUAUAUCACCACUGGCUAAAGUUGUAUCCAGACUUGGUCCAUCCUGGAAAGGGACUGGAAUGUUUUCUACCCAGUCAGGACCUGAAUUGAAAUUGCUCGAAGACACCCAACAAUCCUCAAGUAGUCUGCCUUUGGGUUUGCACACUUCCACCAACCUUUCCCUGGUCAGCAGGAGUUCUGCAUACAAGUCACAUGGAGAACAGGAUUCUUCAUCAUGCAAAGUCAAGCGAUUCAAAGCACAUGCAAAUCCAUCACAUAUGCACAUGGUGCUGAACCUAGGGGGGGGAAACACCAUCGGUCCUUGCUAUGAGCAUGCAUGUGGAGUGAACAAAAAAGCACCAACACAAAAGAAAGCACAGAGCAAUGGGCAUGACAGUUUCAUCUGAAUGCGACAAUCCUACAGAACAACUAACUAUAUAUGCACAGGACCUUUUUUGGGCGGAGAUGAGCGAUCAGAGUUGUGGGGUCAAACCAUGGAUAAUAAAUGUGGCAUAGUUUUAGUUCUGUUCUCUUCUGUUGCCCCACGGCUGAUCUUGCCAAUAUUUAUUUCCUCUGUUAUCUAUCACAUUGUCAUGCAGAAAAGGUUACAGCUUAAAUCAGAAAGCAUUACAAAAGUUUUAAACUCAACAGUUAACAUGGAUAUUCUUUUUUUA